UGGGGAAUAUUGCGCAAUGGGGGGAACCCUGACGCAGCCAUGCCGCGUGAAUGAAGAAGGCCUUCGGGUUGUAAAGUUCUUUCGGUAUUGAGGAAGGUUGAUGUGUUAAUAGCACAUCAAAUUGACGUUAAAUACAGAAGAAGCACCGGCUAACUCCGUGCCAGCAGCCGCGGUAAUACGGAGGGUGCGAGCGUUAAUCGGAAUAACUGGGCGUAAAGGGCACGCAGGCGGUUAUUUAAGUGAGGUGUGAAAGCCCUGGGCUUAACCUAGGAAUUGCAUUUCAGACUGGGUAACUAGAAUACUUUAGGGAGGGGUAGAAUUCCACGUGUAGCGGUGAAAUGCGUAGAGAUGUGGAGGAAUACCGAAGGCGAAGGCAGCCCCUUGGGAAUGUACUGACGCUCAUGUGCGAAAGCGUGGGGAGCAAACAGGAUUAGAUACCCUGGUAGUCCACGCUGUAAACGCUGUCGAUUUGGGGGUUGGGGUUUAACUCUGGCGCCCGUAGCUAACGUGAUAAAUCGACCGCCUGGGGAGUACGGCCGCAAGGUUA
This 547-nucleotide ribosomal RNA is filed under the name uncultured bacterium. Its description in RNAcentral is "bacterial SSU rRNA". It matches the Rfam family "Bacterial small subunit ribosomal RNA", at positions 355 to 896 of the family's 1533-position model. The record is from RNAcentral.